This 253-nucleotide ribosomal RNA is filed under the name uncultured bacterium. RNAcentral describes it as "partial 16S ribosomal RNA". It matches the Rfam family "Bacterial small subunit ribosomal RNA", at positions 524 to 776 of the family's 1533-position model. The record is from RNAcentral.
UACAGAGGUCCCAAGCGUUGUUCGGAUUCAUUGGGCGUAAAGCGCGUGUAGGCGGCUCGGUAAGUCUGCUGUGAAAGUCCAGGGCUCAACCCUGGGAUGCCGGUGGAUACUGUCGAGCUCGAGUCCGGAAGAGGCGAGUGGAAUUCCUGGUGUAGCGGUGAAAUGCGCAGAUAUCAGGAGGAACACCAAUGGCGAAGGCAGCUCGCUGGGACGUUACUGACGCUGAGACGCGAAAGCGUGGGGAGCAAACAGG